Hyla sarda is the source of this 443-nucleotide long non-coding RNA. RefSeq lists it as uncharacterized. The transcript is spliced from 3 exons. NCBI's taxonomy places the organism in Eukaryota, Metazoa, Chordata, Amphibia, Anura, Hylidae. The record is from RefSeq and is a predicted model, not a curated record.
GAAGCAGCGGGACAGCAUCGGGAGCCCCUGGGACAGCAUCGGGAGCGGUGAGGAUGCGGUCCGGAGCGGCGGGGACAGCGGAGCAGUCACGUAGUGUGUGAAGGGUGUUGGUGUAGAUAUAACACAGUCCGGUCUACUUCAAAAGACGUCCAUCCGUAAGCAGUGGAGUGAACCCAUCACUGACCUUUGAGAGCUGGAGGAGACAAUACUUUUACUAUUCUCUACUUCUGAGCAGUGUGAGGUAUGGUCGCUGAGCGCUAAGCUGCUUAAAAAGAGAAGAUGGUGACCCUGGUGACAAUAAUGUUAACUCUACAUUUAUGUGAUGGGACGAAGCAAAGAACAUCCGGAAAACAAGCAGCGUGGGUGUAAGGAUAGACGUGUGAGCUGCUAUGGGCCCAGAGGGACGGCCACGUAUGUGCUAAAACAUACAAUGCAUUUGGAAA